RNAcentral lists this ribosomal RNA (437 nucleotides) under Diaphanosoma brachyurum. Its description in RNAcentral is "partial 16S ribosomal RNA". It matches the Rfam family "Bacterial large subunit ribosomal RNA", at positions 1954 to 2608 of the family's 2925-position model. The record is from RNAcentral. Lineage: Eukaryota; Metazoa; Arthropoda; Branchiopoda; Diplostraca; Sididae.
AGGUAGCAUAAUCAUUAGUCUCCUAAUUAGAGGCUGGAAUGAACGGCGAAACGAGAUAAAAGCUGUCUCUAACAUAUUAAUCGAAAUUCAUUUUUAAGUGAAAAAGCUUAAAUAAGUCUAAAGGACGAUCAGACCCUAUAGAGCUUAAAUAUUCAAUUAGACAAGCAUAAUAAGUAAUAUCUUAACUAGUUGAACAUUUUUGUUGGGGCGACAAAGAGACAAAAUUAACACUCUUUUUUUAAAAAUAUAUAUAGAUAAAGCAUUGAUCCUUAAAUAAAGAUACAAGUCUAAGUUACCUUAGGGAUAACAGCGUAAUCUUUUUGGAGAGUUCAAAUCGAUAAAAAGGAUUGCGACCUCGAUGUUGGAUUAGAAAAUCAGUAAGGUGCAGCAGUCUUACUAGAGAGUCUGUUCGACUCUUAAUAUUCUACGUGAUCUGG